UCAAUUCUCUCUUGCACACCCACUCAUCUAAAGAAUCAAGUCUUUUGUUUAUUAAGGCCCUGGGUUUGGGCAACGUGUUCUAAAUCAGAUCCUACGGUGAGCCAGUUAUGAAGGCUUUGGCUCCAAAGAGACUUUCCUACGUCUGAAAGCCAUUUUGGGCCCAGGCUCUGGUUUCACCCCAUCUUUGGGCAAUCGAUAUAUCAGGCUGUUUCUACCCUGGGAGCUUCUAAUGGCAAGAACUCUUGGAGCUCUGGUAACAUUAUACGUCUAACAGGGGCGGAGGAAGAGAAAACCAGGAGCUUGAGUCUCAAUGUGAUGCUUCACUCGGCAAUAAAUCCAAGUGGCAACAAAGUAAGUAGACGGCAUAAAAGAGAUAUGAGCAAAAAAAAAAAAAAAAAUCCAAAUGUUAAAUUCAACAAGGGAAAGGUCAGGCUGAAAUCUUCAAAAGGAGAAUAGCAGAACAGCAGGACGUAUCCUGAGCGCCACAGUGUCUGGAGGACUCCACCUUUUUCAGGGCAAACUAAGAGCAAAUGUACAGAUCGACUCUCGAGUCAUAGAGAGUCAGAGUCAGAGGUGCCAUUCAACGACUAAAAGCUCCCGCCCCGCCGAGCUCUCCGACCGGCUGGAUUCUGAGGAAGAGAUGCUGAAGGUAAUGGCUUCCUUAUGGACUCCCGGCACAAGAGUGAUGGGCUGACAGAAGGCAUGGGGGCCACAGUCUGAACUGCAGGCAGAUUCUUGCUGGUGGCUCCAUUCACAAAGCUGGAAGAAGAGGGAGUGGAAGAAUCUGUGGCUCCUGUGAGAAAAAAAGAGAGAAAUCACAGGUAACAACAUAACUACAGAGGUGCAAGCUCUGAGAAACAAAUCAUCACUAUUACUCUCGCCUCCCCUUGAGAAAGCGGAGCACCAUCUUACAUUCCUCUUAUUUCUCUCUCUGUCAAAGCCACAGUGUCCACAGCGCCCUGUGCAGCAGGGAGCUUCUGAUAGAUACAUCACAGCAAUGGACUGUCAUCCUGUGAAACCACAAGCUGUCACGGGACAUCUGAGGAUGGGAAAUCUAUUACACAGCCAUCAAUCGCCGUGUCAGAGAUGAGUGUCCACCCAUAAGCAAAUACACCAAGAUGAAGGAAACGUCAAGAGGGACAUUCUGAUGGAUUUCACUGGAAGCGCAGCUUGGCCUGAUUCAACCUCAAUCCAAAUCAACGUCCCUUGUGCAUUCUAAGCAGAUCUCAAUGAGGUAUAUAAUGGACAAUGGGGACUAAAAGUGUCUUUUAAGGAAAAUGUGAUGUAUUUUUUUGGUUCUCAAAAUAUACUGUACUUUACUGUUCAAAGGUUUGGGGUCAGUAUGAUUUUUAUUUUUUUUAAGGAAUUUAAUACUUUUAUUCAGCAA
Long non-coding RNA from Megalobrama amblycephala (Wuchang bream), 1387 nucleotides. RefSeq lists it as uncharacterized. The record is from RefSeq and is a predicted model, not a curated record. Lineage: Eukaryota; Metazoa; Chordata; Actinopteri; Cypriniformes; Xenocyprididae. The transcript has 3 exons.